This is a non-coding RNA of Cicer arietinum (chickpea), 2266 nucleotides long. The record is from RefSeq and is a predicted model, not a curated record. Lineage: Eukaryota; Viridiplantae; Streptophyta; Magnoliopsida; Fabales; Fabaceae.
UUGUUUUGGCAUAUAUUUAUUCAUUGUAUUGUUGGUCUUAGUAAAUAUCUAUUAAUUAAAAUAAUUGUUUUGACAAAUAUUUAUUGAUUGUAUUGAUUAGUUCAAAUAAUUAAAUAGUUGUUUUGGCGUAUCUUAAUUCCAUUCCACUACUGUGUGUUUGUGAGACACAACAAAGAUUCUUUCUUUUAUUUUUCCUUCACAGUUUAAUAGUACCUAUCAGCUUUUUCCAGGUACUGCCUCUGCUCCCCAAACGCUUUACUUUUUAAUUAAUUAUUACUACUCCACAUCGUGGACCCCGCCUCAUGAAACAGACCGUUACAAACUUUUUCUUCCUUUUGUCCGUUUCAUGUUAUUUUGAAUUUCAAAUGUCCAAAUGCCAACUACACAACCACAAGCCCAUUAACCCUUCUUUUUCUUCUUAUCUCUCUCUCUAACACAAACUUCUCUCACUUUAUUAUCACACUUCAUUCAGUUCCAUCACACAAUCAGAAGAGUUAUCGCCACAGUCUCUCUAUACACUCAUGGGUGCCUCUCACAUUGCAUAAUAAAAUUUGUUUUUUUUUGUUGAGUUUGUUUGGUUUAUGUUUGAAGGGGAAGGUAGGAGGUAAGAGUAAGAAGUGGAUGUUAUGGAGAAGUUCAUAAGGAGAGAAUGGUUCAUGGUAAGGUUUUAAAGGAAACCACCAUAAAGCAGUUUCUGAAUGCUCUGAAUCUCCAACCGAAGCAGAAGCUUUUACCGCCACAAUAGCAACAGUCGUUAGAGCUCAACCUAAGGAUUUUAGACUGCUUUCCGCGCUUUCUUGGUAACCUUUUUCAAUCUUCAACUCAAUCUUUACUUUCUAAAUUUGUAUUCUUUUUCUGUCUUAUAUGUUGGUGUAGGUCAUCUAUGCAAAACAUUUUACAAUCCACCCAAAACCCUAAAAUCGUCUUCUCAACCUUGUCCUCCUCUCUUAUUCUGAAAGCUUGCGUUAUCAACAUUGUCCUCCUCUCUUAUUCUAAAAGCUUGCAGCAUCUUUUCUGUCUCUCAUCCAAAAAGCUACGCCCUUAUUCUGAAAAUCUCGCACUCACUCAACCUGUAAUUCAGAUUUCUGUGGCUAAUCUACGAUUUAAAUGGGUACUACGACGACCUUAUUUGGGAGUUGAGGCUACAAACUUUUACGCAGUUGAUAUAUUUCUCAUAGAGAAGAUUAUUCAAAAGAUUCUGAAUAUUUGCAAUGGGGUUUUUGUUGGGAAGGUAAUCCAUGGUUCUUCUGCUGAUUCUGCUGGGUAGCGUUUGAAUGAUGUAAUAGUUCACUGUAAUGGAAAAACAGUUCACAAUUUCUUCGAGUUUGUGGAGAUGGUGUGGGAUAAGAAAGUUGGAGAUAUAUUGGAUUUGUAUGUGGUCCGAGCGUAUGAAAAUGAUCCCAUCCAUAUACCCUAAACCCCAAUAAUAUAAGAAAUAUCAAUAGUUUAAUAUCGAUUGUGCAUAAGUGAAAGUCUUAAACCUUGCAUAAAAAGAAAGAAAAUUAAGGAUAUAUUAUUAGAAACCCUAGUAUGUGGAAAUUGGUACUAUUUGUUGUAGUUUUGUCCAACUUCCCUCUCUUCUUUCGCCCAGCUCUCACUCUACUUUUGCCCACUCCCAGCCCCAUCUCGUCCCUCUCGCCGCAAUGUUUUAGGUUUCUCUCUCACUUUCUCGUUGUUGUGUGUUUUACUCUGUUCCUUUUAUACCUUUACUUUACUUUCUCGUUGGUGCUAAUUGUAGAUGCAAGUCAAAUAAGAAUAAGAGACACGUGAGAAUUAUGUAGGUAGCAUACCUUCUCAACAAAUAGCCCGUUGCAGAUAUUAAGAAACUUUUGAAUAAUCUUCUCUUUGAGAGAUAUAUCAGUUGCAUAAAAGUUUGUAGCCACAACUCCUAGAGAAGGUCGCCGGAGUACCCUGUUGUGAAGAGUUAUUCAUUAGAUCACGAAUUAUUGGAUAUACCUUGGGCAAUUCAUGAGAUGAGAAUAAAUUGUUUAUUUAGAAUGUCAGCAAAAAUGCCCAAAUAUGUAACAGCAUUCAAAUAUAAGUGAACAUUAUGAAGAUUGAAACUUAAUCAUCAUGAAAAUUUCAACAUUAGAGAAACAAAGUUGCAUGACACCACAUGUUAAAAGUUGGUCAACAAUUGACUUGUAAGUUUACUUUCUUUUCAAGUAAGACUGAGUGUCUCAUGGCACUGCAGUUACACAAUUGAAUGGUGCGACUGAGUGUCUCUGAGCCUUCUCCAAGAAGGUCAAACCAAACUGAAACAGAG